GACCUCCGCAACGGAUAUCUCGGCUCUCGCAUCGAUGAAGAACGUAGCGAAAUGCCAUACUUGGUGUGAAUUGCAGAAUCCCGCUGAACCAUCGAGCUUUGAACGCAAUUGCGCCCGAAGCCGUUAGGCCGAGGCACGCCUGCCUGGCGUCA
Molecule: ribosomal RNA, 152 nt
Filed under: Ipomoea nil (Japanese morning glory)
Lineage: Eukaryota; Viridiplantae; Streptophyta; Magnoliopsida; Solanales; Convolvulaceae
Description: 5.8S ribosomal RNA
Rfam family: 5.8S ribosomal RNA
About the family: 5.8S ribosomal RNA (5.8S rRNA) is a component of the large subunit of the eukaryotic ribosome.
Source: Rfam by way of RNAcentral